This 511-nucleotide ribosomal RNA is filed under the name uncultured bacterium. Its description in RNAcentral is "partial 16S ribosomal RNA". It matches the Rfam family "Bacterial small subunit ribosomal RNA", at positions 355 to 882 of the family's 1533-position model. The record is from RNAcentral.
UGGGGAAUAUUGCACAAUGGGCGAAAGCCUGAUGCAGCAACGCCGCGUGAGUGAUGAAGGUCUUCGGAUUGUAAAGCUCUGUCUUUUGGGACGAUAAUGACGGUACCAAAGGAGGAAGCCACGGCUAACUACGUGCCAGCAGCCGCGGUAAUACGUAGGUGGCGAGCGUUGUCCGGAUUUACUGGGCGUAAAGGGUGCGUAGGCGGAUGUUUAAGUGAGAUGUGAAAUACCCGGGCUUAACUUGGGUGCUGCAUUUCAAACUGGAUAUCUAGAGUGCAGGAGAGGAGAAUGGAAUUCCUAGUGUAGCGGUGAAAUGCGUAGAGAUUAGGAAGAACACCAGUGGCGAAGGCGAUUCUCUGGACUGUAACUGACGCUGAGGCACGAAAGCGUGGGUAGCAAACAGGAUUAGAUACCCUGGUAGUCCACGCCGUAAACGAUGAGUACUAGGUGUAGGAGGUAUCGACCCCUUCUGUGCCGCAGUAAACACAUUAAGUACUCCGCCUGGGAAGUA